This 402-nucleotide ribosomal RNA is filed under the name uncultured bacterium. RNAcentral describes it as "bacterial SSU rRNA". It matches the Rfam family "Bacterial small subunit ribosomal RNA", at positions 355 to 774 of the family's 1533-position model. The record is from RNAcentral.
UCGGGAAUUUUGGGCAAUGGGCGAAAGCCUGACCCAGCAACGCCGCGUGAGGGAUGAAGUAUUUCGGUAUGUAAACCUCGAAAGAAUGGGAAGAAUAAAUGACGGUACCAUUUAUAAGCUCCGGCUAACUACGUGCCAGCAGCCGCGGUAAUACGUAGGGAGCAAGCGUUGUUCGGAUUUACUGGGCGUAAAGGGCGCGUAGGCGGCGCGGUAAGUCACUUGUAAAAUCUCUGAGCUUAACUCAGAACGGCCAAGUGAUACUGCUGUGCUAGAGUGCGGAAGAGGCAACCGGAAUUCUUGGUGUAGCGGUGAAAUGCGUAGAUAUCAAGAGGAACACCUGAGGCGAAGGCGGGUUGCUGAGCCGACACUGACGCUGAUGCGCGAAAGCCAGGGGAGCAAACG